Mandrillus leucophaeus (drill) is the source of this 552-nucleotide long non-coding RNA. RefSeq lists it as uncharacterized. The transcript is spliced from 4 exons. The record is from RefSeq and is a predicted model, not a curated record. Lineage: Eukaryota; Metazoa; Chordata; Mammalia; Primates; Cercopithecidae.
AGGUUCCAUUUUUUGGGCCUCUGUUCGAUGGAGCCAUAGUGAGUGGGAAGCUGCUGCCAAGCCUUGUAUGUGCCACAUGCAUCAACGCCAGCAGGGCUGUGAAGUGCCUCAUCCCACUCUACCAGAGCUUCUAUGAAGAGCGAGCUCUGUAUCUCGAAGCAAUAAUUCAGAACCACCGCGAAGUCAUGACAUUCGAGGAUUUCGCAGCCCAAGUCUUUUCUCCCUCUCCCAGCUACUCCCUCAGCGGAACGGAUUAAAACACGUAAAGGUCUCAUUACAAUAUUUGAGCAAGGGGCCCUGGCCUCCAGUCUGAGUGCUGACCUCGAAGAGCCCCUGAGUGAGGAGGAGACAGAACACCCUCUCCUGCCUCUGCCCCAAGCCACUAAACCCAGAAUCUCCAGGAAAUUUCAUUGCUGUACUAGUGCCCUCAGCAGGUCUUCCCAUUAGUGGACUUCUGAAGCCCAUGGUGAAUCCCACUACAGCAUCUCAGAUGGGACUCAAACUAGGCUGUAUCAUCUUGUCCUGAAACCUCACAAACCUUGGACUUCCAAA